CCUACGGGGGGCAGCAGUGGGGAAUAUUGCACAAUGGGGGAAACCCUGAUGCAGCGACGCCGCGUGAGUGAAGAAGCGUUUCGGCGCGUAAAGCUCUGUCAGCGGGGACGAAACAAAUGACGGUACCGAAUGAAUAAGCCACGGCUAACUACGUGCCAGCAGCCGCGGUAAUACGUAGGUGGCAAGCGUUAUCCGGAUUUACUGGGUGUAAAGGGCGUGUAGGCGGGAGAGCAAGUCAGACGUGAAAUUCCAGGGCUCAACCCUGGAACUGCGUUUGAAACUGUUCUUCUUGAGUGAUGGAGAGGCAGGCGGAAUUCCGUGUGUAGCGGUGAAAUGCGUAGAUAUACGGAGGAACACCAGUGGCGAAGGCGGCCUGCUGGACAUUAACUGACGCUGAGGCGCGAAAGCGUGGGGAGCAAACAGGAUUAGAUACCCUAGUAGUC
This 443-nucleotide ribosomal RNA is filed under the name uncultured bacterium. RNAcentral describes it as "partial 16S ribosomal RNA". It matches the Rfam family "Bacterial small subunit ribosomal RNA", at positions 338 to 795 of the family's 1533-position model. The record is from RNAcentral.